UCCCUGAUGGUCCAGUGGUUAGGACUUUGCUCUUCCACUGAAAGGGGCAGAGGUUCGAUCCCUGGUUGGGGAA
Molecule: transfer RNA, 73 nt
Filed under: Ovis aries (sheep)
Lineage: Eukaryota; Metazoa; Chordata; Mammalia; Artiodactyla; Bovidae
Rfam family: tRNA
About the family: Transfer RNA (tRNA) molecules are approximately 80 nucleotides in length. Their secondary structure includes four short double-helical elements and three loops (D, anti-codon, and T loops).
Source: Rfam by way of RNAcentral